CAUGUGCUUCGAUGUUCACUAUGUAAGCUCAAAAUGCACACAAUAAGGCUUUGUUUACACAGAAGGGUUCCAAAAUCGACUGUCGCCUACAUCCUCUGCAUUUUUGCAGCUUAUGCCCUGAAAUAGUGCAGCAUGCAGAGGCGCAGAAGGUGGGGGACACGUUCCACCCAGUUAAAUAGGGACCCUGAUCCGUCUCAAACCGCCCGACUUUUGUGGGGAAAAAAACUUUGAGAACUAAAUAGGGUUGGACACCGUGGUGUUUGAACUCGUCAAAUCGUGUCGACCAUCGGGAAGUACUCAUAGCAUGUGUUUGCUGCAGGUAGCAGUGCACUCACACGCGCGCGCGACCCCCAGCCUGUACACACGCGCUCCCACUGUUCCGCUUUGUCUCGUUUGUAGGUAGAGAUCGACAGAGUGCACGCAUUCCUAUUAACCUAUGCUGUACACGUUUUUAAAAAUUUUCACUUCCACGAUGACCUACCCAUUUAACGAAGGACAAAUAACCUAAACACCGAUGUCACUUUCUAAAAUAUUUUAUUCAAGAAUAUCAGAUCUAUACUUGCCGCAUUUGUGAUUGUAUUCCGCCGUUGUACAGCCUUAUAUUGUGCCGGAUGCAGCUUCGGUCACACGAACCUGCAAAGCGGUAUGCAAUACGGCAAAAAGCGCAACCCGCAAAAGAACAAAGAUCUGUCUCGUUGUUCUUUGAAGGUGCAAGCGAUGAUUGUUCACAGCGGCGCCAGCGAAAUUCUUCUUCUUGACACACCAGUGAUGCGCCCGCUGAUGGGUCCGCGGAUACGAGUCAAACAAAUGCAUUUUAAUAACAUUCGGGUAAUUUGAGGACGGGUAAGUUUUAAGCAUGUAAAGUGGGCUAGACAUCAUUUUGUCUUUAUUGAUAUUUGCGUUCGAGUCGGGUUAAAUUAUAAACGUUCUACUUUUAGAUAUACGAUGGCGCGUUAGGGCAUUGAUAAAGCAAAAUAGUAGAAUGGUCGAUUUCGAGAAUAAAGUCAUAAUAUUUCGCUUAUGACUUUAAUGUAAAAAUAUUUCGAGAUUUAAACUUGUAGUUUGCAGCCUAUGUAUGUGAAUUUCCCCUUUAUGGCCGAAUUUGCCAUUGACAUGUGUUAUGCCGAAACAGGCAUCCCUGCCGGGAGAUUGCACCACUGAAAACAGCGGAAGGGAAACUCUUUUUUGUAGAGUGUGACAACGACCGUUUCUGUUUCUGUAAACGCAUAAAACGCAUGUAACAUAUCACACGACAUUGUAUUUUGUUAAAAUACAGAUAUACAACACAAACAAACAAAAUAGUCGCGGAUCUGAAAACGGGUAUACCUAUAAUACCUAGACUCACGCAUGUCAAUAUCAAUUCAGAAGUUCAAAACAACAGACACGAACUUGGCACUAUAACGCUUAAUUGUUACAUUAUAUGUUUAUAUCAGAUGUAUAUUAACGCUGUUAUUUUCACGAAGAAAAAUAAAUUUGUUACAUUUUGUUGCUCAAUAUUUUUUAAAACGUCUGGGUCUCUUUAUGGCUAAAAUAGUGUUGCACCACGUAACUCAGAACACACUUAUCUCCAAAUUGUAUUAACGUGCUUUAUGCCGGGGUCAGUGCGAAUAUAAAUAAUAAUAAUAAUAAUAAUAAUAAUAAUAAUAAAUGCAAAAUUAAUGGGUAUGCCUGUUUCAGCAUUUUAUGCCUUUUAUGAGAUAGUGUCUUAACUAAUCUGUGCAACCAUAUGAUUGACACAAAGAGCGUAUGCAGUGAAAAAAAAAA
Paramormyrops kingsleyae is the source of this 1764-nucleotide non-coding RNA. The record is from RefSeq and is a predicted model, not a curated record. Lineage: Eukaryota; Metazoa; Chordata; Actinopteri; Osteoglossiformes; Mormyridae.